CACCACUGUCACACACCUGAAGUUUACAGGAUAAGAUUGUAUGAACUGAGAAUCCAUCCUUGUAUCUACUCACCACUCUCACACACCUGAAGUUUACAGGAUAAGACCAGAGGUGAUGGGCAAGCCAGGACAUGACUUCCUGUUAUUAAUCUUUAGUCAGGAAUCCUUAAUAACCAUUCUCACUCUUAUGCAGGCAGCAACAAUCCUCUUCCUGUUAUUUACAGUGGGCUGCAGACAGAACAAAAUACUUUUGUAUUUAAAAGAGAGAGAAAAUCCAAACAUUUCCAAUUUAUUAGAAAAUGAUCAGAAAGCCCUCUUUUAUAAUACACAUUCUUCACCUCUAAGACCAAGGGAGUGCAAUCAUCUUCCACUUGUUGGAGAGAAGAGGCCAUUUGUUCUUCCAGUCAUGCUUGUCUCAAGGGCCAUCCAAAUGCAAUUUCACAGAAGGGCGCAAUGGAAAACUGGCAGAAGCCCAGAGGUCACACCUACUGUUUAUAACUGACAUAUCCGUGCAUGCUGGCUACUGUCUAGAUAAAAAGCACUUGUGGAAUAAGCAGCAUCUCAGCCCCAAUGGGGCCCUAUCUAAUGCCUAUAAAAAAAAUAGGAACAAGAGAUAUUGUAAACGAUUUCCCAGAAAGCCAACAAAUCCCACAUCUCUACUAGAACAGAACUGAUAGCACAUAUUUAUCCAUCCAGGCCCUUCUUCCUCUCAUCUCUAGAUAACCUGCUGCCCUCCAAAUGUUCUACUCAACUCUGAAGUCAUAUGGGUGUUUUGAGCAAUUUCCAUCAGCCCCAGCCCAGGUAGCCAGGGAUUGUAGGAAUUGUAGUCCACAUCUGAAGGGCACCAGAUUUCCCAUUCUGUCACUCGCUGCCACCACUGAGAUAUGUCUGAUUACAGAUCCCACCACCAUGGCGUGCUAACUGAGGAAAAUGGGAAAUGUAGUCCACAACGUUUUCAAGGCAUCCAGGUGUGGAAGACUUGUUGCCUAACACCAGCAUCCUCGUUGUCUGUUGCGGUCUUGCCAUGUUCUUUUCCCAGUCCUGAGGUGCUGUUGGCUUGGGAACAUGUAGAAAGGAGGCAAGAGAGGGAAAAGAUCCCUGUCUUUAUUCAACAAGGGGGGAACAAUAGUUCUGAACAGGAUCAGUGCCUUCUGAGGACACUUCCCCAUCCUGUCAUGAGUUGCAGGAGUUAGAAGCAAUAUUUCCACAAACUGCUGCCCAGACUUGGAAUAAAUUUAGUCUCCUUGUCCUGACA
This 1255-nucleotide long non-coding RNA is filed under the name Pogona vitticeps (central bearded dragon). RNAcentral's name for it is "lncRNA (ENSPVIG00000020152.1)". The record is from RNAcentral. Lineage: Eukaryota; Metazoa; Chordata; Lepidosauria; Squamata; Agamidae.